CAAAAAUACGAAACACACUGUAAACAAACGAACAGACACAGACAAUUUAAAUGUUACAUACGCUGCUCUUCUACACACAGUCAAAAACAUACAAAACAGAGAACGCAGAGAGAAAAAUAGAGCAAAUUGUAUAUCAACACUGUAGCCCAAAAAAAAAAAAACACACACAAACUCACACCAAGAUAGCAGUAAACGUAACACUAAUAGGACAAACUGAACAGUAACCGUCAUUUUGAAAAAUUGCGCCAGUGCGUAGAACGGUACACCGAAUUCCGAUUCUUUAAAGAUAAAAUUGUUUCCGGGUAGUAAUAGAACCGUGAACACCCAAUAACAUCAAUGACGAUUAAUUGUUCAAACAAACAUAUAGACGAAAAACAACAUAAAACUUCGAGUCCUUGAUAAAGGUCCAAUAAGGACCGAAACGUUGGAGAAAGAAACCAUACAGUUGUUUUAAAUUGUUAAAAAAGACUGAAAAGCCAGAAAAUUUUUCCAAAAUCAACCUUACAGUCGAUCUAUCAGUAAAACAUCAACCAUGGCGGGGUUUUACAAUACAAUCAACGACGAAUUCGGACAAGAGACACAAGCGCGCUUCAAACAGUAUGCGGACAACA
Long non-coding RNA from Aedes aegypti (yellow fever mosquito), 611 nucleotides. RefSeq lists it as uncharacterized. The record is from RefSeq and is a predicted model, not a curated record. NCBI's taxonomy places the organism in Eukaryota, Metazoa, Arthropoda, Insecta, Diptera, Culicidae. The transcript has 3 exons.